GGACCAAGGAGUCUAGCAUGUGCGCGAGUCAUUGGGACUCUAACGAAACCUAAAGGCGUAAUGAAAGUGAAGGUCCGCCUAGCGCGGGCCGAGGGAGGAUGGGUGUCCCCGAGGGGACGCCUCGCACUCCCAGGGCGUCUCGUUCUCAUUGCGAGAAGAGGCGCACCAAGAGCGUACACGCUGGGACCCGAAAGAUGGUGAACUAUGCCUGGUCAGGACGAAGUCAGGGGAAACCCUGAUGGAGGUCCGUAGCGAUUCUGACGUGCAAAUCGAUCGUCGGAACUGGGUAUAGGGGCGAAAGACUAAUCGAACCAUCUAGUAGCUGGUUCCCUCCGAAGUUUCCCUCAGGAUAGCUGGCGCUCGCUUCUCGCGAGUCUCAUUCGGUAAAGCGAAUGAUUAGAGGCAUUGGGGUCGAAACGGCCUCAACCUAUUCUCAAACUUUAAAUGGGUGAGAUCUCCGGCUUGCUUGAACUGUGAAGCCGCGAGAUAUCGGAUCAGAGUGCCAAGUGGGCCACUUUUGGUAAGCAGAACUGGCGCUGUGGGAUGAACCAAACGCUGAGUUAAAGCGCCUAAAUCGACGCUUAUGGGAUACCAUGAAAGGCGUUGGUAACUUAAGACAGCAGGACGGUGGCCAUGGAAGUCGGA
Molecule: ribosomal RNA, 645 nt
Filed under: Leucocelis amethystina
Lineage: Eukaryota; Metazoa; Arthropoda; Insecta; Coleoptera; Scarabaeidae
Also listed under: 1 other name
Description: LSU rRNA
Rfam family: Eukaryotic large subunit ribosomal RNA
Source: RNAcentral